CCCAACCUGAACCCAUCAGGCCAGUCCGAAUUGCCCAUUUGAGCCAAAAACUGAGCUGGCCCGAACCUGAUUAAAGCUUAACCCAUUUGAUAAAAUGGUGAAUGUAGCACUUGAUCUACAAAGUUAAAUAAAGCAAAAAGGAUAAAAAUACUCUACCGUUCAGUAACGGUUCAAAUUAUCAGAACUUUUACUCUCACCAACAA
RNAcentral lists this long non-coding RNA (203 nucleotides) under Elaeis guineensis (African oil palm). RNAcentral describes it as "long non-coding RNA (EGUI_LNC014840)". The record is from RNAcentral. Lineage: Eukaryota; Viridiplantae; Streptophyta; Magnoliopsida; Arecales; Arecaceae.